Long non-coding RNA from Aquila chrysaetos chrysaetos, 127 nucleotides. RefSeq lists it as uncharacterized. The record is from RefSeq and is a predicted model, not a curated record. NCBI's taxonomy places the organism in Eukaryota, Metazoa, Chordata, Aves, Accipitriformes, Accipitridae. The transcript has 3 exons.
AGCUCUCUCCAGAGUUGAGGGCGUCCCCCUCCUCGACAGCCCCUGCAGCAGCCUAGCAGAGACGCUGGGAUCCCCACCGGCCUCCCAGGCUGCUCCUCCUCUGCAGCCAGCAAGCUCAGACAGCAGU